UAGGCUGGAGUACAGUGGUGCAACCAUAGCGCACUGCAGCCUUGACCUCCUGGGCUCAAGCGGUCUUCCCCUUCAACCUUCCAACUAACUGGGACCACAGGUUUCUACUUACUGAAUAGUUCCUUCGUGAAGUUUCAGGAUUGCAAAAUGCAGAAGCUUCGUCAUGUUAAAUAUACCUGGGAGGAGCCACGCCUCAUUUUUAAAGCUUUCCAGGGCAAUGAAUGAAGUCAGACCACUGACAACAGCCACCCUGUGGAAAGAGAGGUGUGGUGGCUGCCAUCUCCGUGCACAUGGCAGCCUGGCUGGAGAUGAAGUAUGCGAAGAAGGCACUGCAGACCUGAAUUUAUUGGCACAACCCUGGGACCAGCUGGGGACCAUGUAGAGCCUUGUCCCCUCCGGGUACUGUCAUGCACAUCCUUGGAAGAACAGACUCCAUCCUUUUUUCUUUUUCCAUGAGGGAUGACGAAACUGAAGAGCCUGAACCGAAGUUUUCUACCCAAAAGAAACACUGGCCCCACCGUGACGUAUCCUAACAUCCAAAUACCAGGAGGUGAGAUCCCUGGUAGCCAAGCCGAGAAUGAAGACAGCCGUUUAGACAUCUUGCUUCUGCUUCCAGUGAAUGAAUGAAGCCAAUGUUGCCCUUGGUUUAUCUACAUAAUGGCCUCGGCCCUUCAUCUGACUUCGUUUGGGACUUGUUGCAUGUCCGGGUCUGGGCAACAGACCCACAGGGCAAGGGCGCCGCACCAGCCUCGGGUUAGGGAUGCAAGCUGUUGCAUCUCAGGUGGCUUCUUCGGCACCCAACUUGUAAAAUGGACAUUUUUCUCCAGCGUCCUAGAGCUGCUGUCUAAAGCAACUGCUUACGAUGGGAACAGCAGACACUGCGGAUUCCAAAAGCAGAGGAGAAGGUGCGGGAAUCAAGGGUACUUAGUUCACUUCUUGGGGGACAGGAUGAUUAGAAGUCCAAGCUUCAGCAUCAUGCAAUAUACCCACGUAACAAACCUGCACAUCUCCCCUCUGAAUCUAACAUUUUAAAAAUAUUAAUAUAUAAAUAAUACAUAAAAUAGGCCGGGCGCGGUGGCUCAUGCCUGUAAUCUCAGCACUUGGGGAGGCCGAGGUGGGUGGAUCACCUGAGGUCAGGAGUUCAAGACCAGCCUGACCAACUUAGUGAAACCCCAUCUCUACUAAAAAUUUUUAAAAAUUAGCCAGGCGUGGUGGCAGGCGCCUGCAGUCUCAGCUACGCGGGAGGCUGGGGCAGGAAGAAUUGCUUGAACCCAGGAGGUGGAAGUUGCAGU
Molecule: long non-coding RNA, 1292 nt
Organism: Pan troglodytes (chimpanzee)
Lineage: Eukaryota; Metazoa; Chordata; Mammalia; Primates; Hominidae
Exons: 3
Source: RefSeq, a predicted model, not a curated record